Molecule: long non-coding RNA, 1144 nt
Filed under: Pogona vitticeps (central bearded dragon)
Lineage: Eukaryota; Metazoa; Chordata; Lepidosauria; Squamata; Agamidae
Description: lncRNA (ENSPVIG00000003323.1)
Source: RNAcentral
AUGCUUUUUUUCCCCAUCCAGUGUCCUAUAACUUUUGAGGAGGUGGCUGUGGAUUUCACCCAGGAGGAGUGGGGGCUGCUGGAUCCUGACCAGAGAGCCCUCCACCAGGAGGUCAUGGAGGAGAACUGGAAUGUCGUGGCUUCUCUUAUGCUGCUUGCUGAGAAUGCCUGCACUGAUGAUGAUGAUUAUAAGGUUUCUGAAUCGGAGCAGGGGCCCAACUCACCCAGUCACUUCACAAACAUUAAGAGGGAGCUGGGAUACUCUGCUGAGCAGCCCAGUUUUUCCGACGAGGAGCUGAACAGAAUGAGAAGAGAAGAGGCCCAAGUGUGUGAGGGUAAGGAAGAUGCUCCCCUAGUACAUGUGCAAAGUGCAGAUCCCAAAUAAAUGCCCGCUGGAGUUUAUAGUACUAUAGUGUCAUAUUAUAGUAUAAUAACCAUUAAGAUAUAAGCCUUAUAGUGCAAACUUGAACAGUGUGAUGUGAACAGAGAGGAAGAGACCUUGAGACUACCUGCUCUUUAAAAUGGAGACUCUGCGAUUACAGCAAAUACCUGUAUAUAAGUCAUGAACGGUAGCAAGCAGCUUUGUGGAUGAAUCUUGAUUUUAAGUGAGCAGGGAGCCCAAGGACAGUGCUGAGAAAUCUGCAUAUGAUCAGAGACACUGAGAACAUUUUUUUUCUUUAGAAUGCUUGAUCACUUACUCACAGUGACAACACUGUGGUUUUGCAAUUGAUUUGACAUUAUUGGCCACUCAACACAUAAUCCUUCCUCUCCCAUCCUGAUGCAAGUGCAAACUGAUUUGAUUCUUGAAUUCAGUUAAAGGUAAAGGUUCCCCUUGACAUUUUCAGUCCAGUCGUGUCCCACUUUAGGGGGCAGUGCUCAUCCCUCUUUUUAACAGCCUCGUGGCGCAGUGGUUAAAAUGCUGUACUGCAGCUAAUACUGUGCUCACGACCUGGGGUUCAAAUCCCAGGUAGCUGGCUCAAGGUAGACUCAGCCUUCCAUCCUUCCGAGGUCGGUAAAAUGAGUACCCAGCUUGCUGGGGGGCAAUGUGUAGCCUGUAUAAUUAAACUGUAAACCGCCCGGAGAAUGCUUGUAGUGCUAUGGGGCGGUAUAUAAGUCAAAUAAAUAAAUAAAUAAAUAAUAAGCCA